Molecule: ribosomal RNA, 1355 nt
Filed under: uncultured bacterium
Lineage: Bacteria
Description: bacterial SSU rRNA
Rfam family: Bacterial small subunit ribosomal RNA
Source: RNAcentral
AUUGAACGCUGGCGGCAGGCUUAACACAUGCAAGUCGAACGAUGAUUAUCUAGCUUGCUAGAUAUGAUUAGUGGCGGACGGGUGAGUAACAUUUAGGAAUCUGCCUAGUAGUGGGGGAUAGCUCGGGGAAACUCGAAUUAAUACCGCAUACGACCUACGGGUGAAAGGGGGCGCAAGCUCUUGCUAUUAGAUGAGCCUAAAUCAGAUUAGCUAGUUGGUGGGGUAAAGGCCCACCAAGGCGACGAUCUGUAACUGGUCUGAGAGGAUGAUCAGUCACACCGGAACUGAGACACGGUCCGGACUCCUACGGGAGGCAGCAGUGGGGAAUAUUGGACAAUGGGGGCAACCCUGAUCCAGCCAUGCCGCGUGUGUGAAGAAGGCCUUUUGGUUGUAAAGCACUUUAAGCAGGGAGGAGAGGCUAAUGGUUAAUACCCAUUAGAUUAGACGUUACCUGCAGAAUAAGCACCGGCUAACCCUGUGCCAGCAGCCGCGGUAAUACAGAGGGUGCGAGCGUUAAUCGGAAUUACUGGGCGUAAAGCGAGUGUAGGUGGCUCAUUAAGUCACAUGUGAAAUCCCCGGGCUUAACCUGGGAACUGCAUGUGAUACCGGUGGUGCUAGAAUAUGUGAGAGGGAAGUAGAAUUCCAGGUGUAGCGGUGAAAUGCGUAGAGAUCUGGAGGAAUACCGAUGGCGAAGGCAGCUUCCUGGCAUAAUAUUGACACUGAGAUUCGAAAGCGUGGGUAGCAAACAGGAUUAGAUACCCUGGUAGUCCACGCCGUAAACGAUGUCUACUAGCCGUUGGGGUCCUUGAGACUUUAGUGGCGCAGUUAACGCGAUAAGUAGACCGCCUGGGGAGUACGGCCGCAAGGUUAAAACUCAAAUGAAUUGACGGGGGCCCGCACAAGCGGUGGAGCAUGUGGUUUAAUUCGAUGCAACGCGAAGAACCUUACCUGGUCUUGACAUAGUGAGAAUCCUGCAGAGAUGCGGGAGUGCCUUCGGGAAUUCACAUACAGGUGCUGCAUGGCUGUCGUCAGCUCGUGUCGUGAGAUGUUGGGUUAAGUCCCGCAACGAGCGCAACCCUUUUCCUUAUUUGCCAGCGGGUUAAGCCGGGAACUUUAAGGAUACUGCCAGUGACAAACUGGAGGAAGGCGGGGACGACGUCAAGUCAUCAUGGCCCUUACGACCAGGGCUACACACGUGCUACAAUGGUAGGUACAGAGGGUUGCUACACAGCGAUGUGAUGCUAAUCUCAAAAAGCCUAUCGUAGUCCGGAUUGGAGUCUGCAACUCGACUCCAUGAAGUCGGAAUCGCUAGUAAUCGCAGAUCAGAAUGCUGCGGUGAAUACGUUCCCGGGCCU